AACCUUUGCAAUGUGCGCAAGCACGACAAGGUUAAUCCGAGUGUUUCCUGCUAAAGGAAUCUUUUGCUAGUCCUAAAAACACUAGCGAAUAAGGGGUGGGCAAGUUCUGGUGUCAGCCGCCGCGGUAAAACCAGCACCUCAAGUGGUCAGGAGGAUUAUUGGGCCUAAAGCAUCCGUAGCCUGCUCUGUAAGUUUCCGGUUAAAUCCAUUAGCUUAACUGAUGGGCCGCCGGAAAAACUGCAAAGCUAGGGAGUGGGAGAGGUAGACGGUACUCGGUAGGAAGGGGUAAAAUCCUUUGAUCUAUUGAUGACCACCUGUGGCGAAGGCGGUCUACCAGAACACGUUCGACGGUGAGGGAUGAAAGCUGGGGGAGCAAACCGGAUUAGAUACCCGGGUAGUCCCAGCUGUAAACGAUGCAGACUCGGUGAUGCCCUGGCUUGUGGCCAGUGCAGUGCCGCAGGGAAGCCGUUAAGUUUGCCGCCUGGGAAGUACGUACGCAAGUAUGAAACUUAAAGGAAUUGGCGGGGGAGCAC
RNAcentral lists this ribosomal RNA (533 nucleotides) under uncultured archaeon. RNAcentral's name for it is "bacterial SSU rRNA". It matches the Rfam family "Archaeal small subunit ribosomal RNA", at positions 345 to 879 of the family's 1478-position model. The record is from RNAcentral.